This 510-nucleotide ribosomal RNA is filed under the name uncultured bacterium. Its description in RNAcentral is "bacterial SSU rRNA". It matches the Rfam family "Bacterial small subunit ribosomal RNA", at positions 9 to 514 of the family's 1533-position model. The record is from RNAcentral.
GAGUUUGAUCGUGGCUCAGAUUGAACGCUGGCGGCAGGCCUAACACAUGCAAGUCGAGCGGUAGAGAGAAGCUUGCUUCUCUUGAGAGCGGCGGACGGGUGAGUAAUGCCUAGGAAUCUGCCUGGUAGUGGGGGAUAACGCUCGGAAACGGACGCUAAUACCGCAUACGUCCUACGGGAGAAAGCAGGGGACCUUCGGGCCUUGCGCUAUCAGAUGAGCCUAGGUCGGAUUAGCUAGUUGGUGAGGUAAUGGCUCACCAAGGCGACGAUCCGUAACUGGUCUGAGAGGAUGAUCAGUCACACUGGAACUGAGACACGGUUCAGACUCCUACGGGAGGCAGCAGUGGGGAAUAUUGGACAAUGGGCGAAAGCCUGAUCCAGCCAUGCCGCGUGUGUGAAGAAGGUCUUCGGAUUGUAAAGCACUUUAAGUUGGGAGGAAGGGCAGUAAAUUAAUACUUUAGCUGUUUGACGUUACCGACAGAAUAAGCACCGGCUAACUCUGUGCCAGCCG